This 24-nucleotide non-coding RNA is filed under the name Arabidopsis thaliana (thale cress). Lineage: Eukaryota; Viridiplantae; Streptophyta; Magnoliopsida; Brassicales; Brassicaceae. The record is from RNAcentral.
UCCGAGUGCAUAACAUAUUUUUCC